Mya arenaria is the source of this 1317-nucleotide long non-coding RNA. RefSeq lists it as uncharacterized. Lineage: Eukaryota; Metazoa; Mollusca; Bivalvia; Myida; Myidae. The record is from RefSeq and is a predicted model, not a curated record. The transcript has 3 exons.
AGCUUGGGAUUUCCCAGAUUUGUGCGGACAAAUGCAAAGGUCGCGUAGGUUAUUGCGUGAAUUCUUAAUCAAUAUCAUCUCAUUUAAGAGACUGCAGACGAUAUUUUUGGUUUAUUUAUGACAAUUGAGCUUUGUUGUAUUGAUAAACGAUAACGUUUAUAAUAUUACAAACAUUUAGCAUACACAUUUUACUUUUACGAAAAGGCAUUACAAAAAGGCAUGUUUACACGCCCUGUUUACAAGGUUGACAGAUACAGUGUGGACAUACCACGUGGUUUGUGACGUCACAUUUAGUUAAAACGUGAAGUAAAAUACCGCUCGACUCAAAAAGGAUUAUCGCUACUGAUGCGGCCUCCCCUUACCAUGGGGAAGCGCUGCAGGCGAGCAAAGAAAAAGCAAGGGGGAGGACGUAAUUUCGUUUCAUGCAAACAUUAAGUGGGAAAAAAAUUCAUGGCAAACAAAAUGGCAGAUUUAGAAUGAACAGUACUGAUUUAGGAACCAACUUUUGCCUGGAACUUCACCAUGGCCCGAUUUAGAAGGCGAACGAGCCUCACGUUAUACAGAAAAUCACACAAGACCGCAGUGGCAAAGAAAUCCGUCAAUACAAGAACAUAAAAUGCUAGCAUGUCGUCGAUGAAAAAAAAACUCGCUUCUGUGAUUACAACCAAAGUAGUUAGAUUCUCGGUGUACAAAAAGAGAUGUUUAACGUCUUUAACUAGUAACAGAACACCCAAAAGCACACGAUUAGCCCUCGAAAUACAUAAACAUAUGCGCGUUUAACGCGCCUGAUAAAAUAUAUAAAGUAUUCAAUGAAGUCAAUUUCCUACAAGAUAUUUGAAAACACAUUAAAAUGAUAUGAUUCGGAAAACACGUCCGCCAUGCAUUAUUCUGAGGAGACGAAAGAUUUCUAUCGGACUUGUUUGGCACGUUCAUUCCCUGCUGUGCAUCCCUUGUUUAUUGCACUGGGUCACAGAAGGGGACAAUUUCCUGUGUAUUUGUUUAUUGACACAGGGGCAUUUAGAGCUGACACUUAGAUAGUCUCAUUGUCUCACUAAUACAUAAUCAAUUCUUGUAUAAUUUGUAUAUCUAAUGUAUUUAUUAAUUUGACCGAUGGAAUAUAAAUAAUAAACAAAUAAGAGUUAUACGUGUUUUAAUAGUUAUAUAACGGAUAUAUUUUAAUCCACUUUAAAUACAUGGUCACCAUUGUAAUAUCCAAAUUGUCAAGCAUCAUGGUUAAAUCAUAUUAAUGGGCUUUUAUAUACAUGUAUUGAAUAUAACAUUACUUUUAUUUUUAUUCUAAAGCAUUGUAAUAAUAAU